This 251-nucleotide ribosomal RNA is filed under the name uncultured prokaryote. RNAcentral's name for it is "partial 16S rRNA". It matches the Rfam family "Bacterial small subunit ribosomal RNA", at positions 525 to 775 of the family's 1533-position model. The record is from RNAcentral.
ACGGAGGGUGCAAGCGUUAUUCGGAAUUACUGGGCGUAAAGGGCGUGCAGGCGGGAGAGCAAGUCUGAUGUGAAAGCCCGGGGCUUAACCCCGGAAGGGCAUUGGAAACUGCUUUUCUUGAGUUCUGGAGAGGAAGGGAGAAUUCCCGGUGUAGGGGUGAAAUCCGUAGAGCUCGGGAGGACCACCAGUGGCGAAGGCGCCCUACUGGAAAGCAACUGACGCUGAGGCGCGAAAGCGUGGGGAGCAAACAG